This 398-nucleotide ribosomal RNA is filed under the name uncultured Glomeromycotina. Its description in RNAcentral is "SSU rRNA". It matches the Rfam family "Eukaryotic small subunit ribosomal RNA", at positions 569 to 970 of the family's 1831-position model. The record is from RNAcentral. Lineage: Eukaryota; Fungi; Glomeromycota.
AGCAGCCGCGGUAAAUUCCAGCUCCAAUAGCGUAUAUUAAAGUUGUUGCAGUUAAAAAGCUCGUAGUUGAAUUUCGGGAUCAGUACGCUGGUCGUGCCUUUGGUAUGUACUGGUGUCACUGAUUCCUCCCUUCUGAAGAACCGUUAUGCCAUUUAUUUGGUGUGGCGGGGAAUCAGGACUGUUACUUUGAAAAAAUUAGAGUGUUUAAAGCAGGCUCGCGCUUGAAUACAUUAGCAUGGAAUAAUGAAAUAGGACGUUUGAUCUUAUUUUGUUGGUUUCUAGGAUCGACGUAAUGAUUAAUAGGGAUAGUUGGGGGCAUUAGUAUUCAAUUGUCAGAGGUGAAAUUCUUGGAUUUAUUGAAGACUAACUACUGCGAAAGCAUUUGCCAAGGAUGUUUU